Molecule: ribosomal RNA, 235 nt
Filed under: uncultured bacterium
Lineage: Bacteria
Description: partial 16S ribosomal RNA
Rfam family: Bacterial small subunit ribosomal RNA
Source: RNAcentral
CGGACGGGUGAGUAACGCGUGGAUAACCUGCCUCACACUGGGGGAUAACAGUUAGAAAUGGCUGCUAAUACCGCAUAAGCGCACAGUACCGCAUGGUACGGUGUGAAAAACCCAGGUGGUGUGAGAUAGAUCCGCGUCUGAUUAGCCAGUUGGCGGGGUAACGGCCCACCAAAGCGACGAUCAGUAGCCGACCUGAGAGGGUGACCGGCCACAUUGGGACUGAGACACGGCCCAA